GCCUGGCAGGAAGCUCGAGAAUUACAGAGAAUUUUGAGAUCAUUAAAAUGAGAGAAAAUACUCCAAGAAAAAAGUGUGAGUGAGUAUUUUACCAAAAAAAAAAGAAAGUGUGAGUUAGCAAACUGGUUAAGAUUUCCGGGAGAGGAUACAACUUGACCCAUGUUUCACUGUCAAUGCAUUCAGCUCACAAUAACACCGGUUAUCUAUAAAAACUAAAAUGUCAUCAAAAUGCAGGCCGAAAGACUAUUGUUGAAUAAUGGCCCAAGGCAUGCUAUGUACGUAGUGGAUGGUACAGAUUUCCCGGACCCUUCCCCAAAACGAAAUUUAAACGUUGACCGUUACUUUUAAUUAAGUUGGCUCCUUUACCACAUACAUAGUUACAAACACUAAGACACCAUAACCACCAUGGCUAUC
RNAcentral lists this long non-coding RNA (414 nucleotides) under Brassica napus (rape). RNAcentral describes it as "long non-coding RNA (BNAP_LNC019111)". The record is from RNAcentral. Lineage: Eukaryota; Viridiplantae; Streptophyta; Magnoliopsida; Brassicales; Brassicaceae.